GGCAGGUUGCUUUUCUGCAUGACACAAAAAGGAUGGCUCCUUUACCCCAAAAAACCUUACACCCACAUGGGACUGAGGCCCUGUCACCCAGUGUGAAUAAACUACAGAACCAGAGGACAGCAGACGACCAGGAGCAACUGAUCCAGCAUCAGUUUUUCAACUCAUUAUGAGUCAAAGUCAAAGUACACUGUGGUCUUUGGACCAGGACUGAAGAUCAAAACCCUUGAUUUUCUACAGUAGUAUUCUUUUCUCCCAAAGGGCAGAUUUGCAACAUUGGACUUCCAGGAUGCCAUGAUGUUAAAACACAUCUCAGUCCUGAAGAAGCAACUGUCCACUUGUUGUGUCAAAACCAGCUAUUAUUGUACAGAUGAUUGCUUAUUAUGUAAGUAUUACUAAACAUUAUUAAUAUUAUAUUCCUGAUUAUUUUAUAUAUGUCUGCAAUGCGCCUUGUGUACAAAAUAAUAAAA
Long non-coding RNA from Sander lucioperca (pikeperch), 467 nucleotides. RefSeq lists it as uncharacterized. Lineage: Eukaryota; Metazoa; Chordata; Actinopteri; Perciformes; Percidae. The transcript is spliced from 3 exons. The record is from RefSeq and is a predicted model, not a curated record.